UUUUUUGUUUUUGUAUUUUGUACCAUUUUGAGCACAAGUCCUCAUCAUUGACUCUCCAAAGUUAUAGCAGCAUAGAAGAUUCCCGUUGACGGGAUUCUACUGCAGACUUGGCCAUUCCUGGCAGGUGACAACCUCGGGUCAAGUACUCAACUGGUUUCUUGUAACAAUACAUGGGAAUUAGGAAGACGGACAUCACAGUGGACUACAAUCACCGAUUAAUCCUUCGCCGUUGUUUCAUCGCAGCGAUACCGCACAGCAUUCAGUGAUUUCAGUCAGCAAUACUGCUCACCGACGUGCACUCCUUUCGUCACCAGGGGAGGUGGCUAUAGGGCUGUAGAGGAGUCUGACGUGCUAAAACUAGCAUUAUGCGACUACCCAACCGACUAGGCCUACAACCGAUGGCCUCACUCGCCCACUGUCUCCUACUACCCCUGCUCUCAAACACAGCACAGAGUUUCUUCAGAAUGUUGCACCCAUCCCAGCAACGUCAACCUGCAGGAGGAAGGGCCAGUUUACAUAUCUUUCAUAAUCGAAGGUCACGGAGAUCAUACGUAAAACGUGCCAUGCAGUGGGGGAGAGGUUGGGUGAGAACGGGAUGUGUUAGAAAACGAAAACCAUUUGGUAUUCAUUUUGAUAUUGGUUGUUGCUGACCCAUCCCCAGCAACGCCCACCUGCAGAAGGAAAGGCCAGUUUCCAUACCUUUCAUAAUCGAAGGUCACGAAGAUCAUUACGUAAAACGUGUCAUGCAGUGGUGUAGAGGUUGGGUGAGGACGACACGUGUUUUUUGCUUCAUUAUCAAGCAGGUACAAUAGCCGCAAGGCUUGAGUUGAGAAGUAAGGGUGAGGAAAAAGUCGUAUAAAAUGAGAGAGAAAAGGCGACAGAGAUCAGUCGAAAGAGUAUCUCCGACACGGCAACAAGCGCAGUGCAUUUCUUGUCUCCACCGGCCUUCUUCAUCGCAUUAUCAGUUCGCAAUUAUGGGUGAGUGAGCUUCUCCGACACUUCAACAACUGCAUCCUUCGUCGUAUUACCAGUUCAUAAUGAUGGUAAACUAUGCCGUCUUGCUGCAGUGCUGCUAUUGGUUGCUGUAUUGCUGAUGGCGAAUAUCAAGAAACAGCAGCGAAAGAAUACUCUACCACGCCGCCUCCUUACUAAACAACAGCGUCAACACCUACUGACUAUACGAAGGCCUUCAAGUCCUACUACACCACCAAGGCUCCUGAGUAUUAAACUGCAACCUACGCUGCUCCAUCUUUGAAAACAUGGUUUACAAUGGCGUCGUCCUGCGUUUGAUUGUUGUAUCCUUGAUGGUUGGGUCGACUACUGGUGUACCGAUGUUUCGUGGGUAUGGUGGAUACCAAACCUCAACGCCGGCGUCUUACCACACAACGACAUUCGCAACAACCGAAUACUACACCACCAAGGCUUCUGAUUAUUACACCAUAACUUAUGAUGUUCCAAACUACUACACCGAAGCCUUGGAAGUAUAAUUCUGCCUAGUACUACACCACGAAGGCAGCGGAGUACUACACCACGAAGGCAGCGGAGUACUACACCACGAAGGCAGCGGAGUACUACACCACGAAGGCAGCGGAGUACUACACCACGAAGGCAGCGGAGUACUACACCACGAAGGCAGCGGAGUACUACACCACGAAGGCAGCGGAGUACUACACCACGAAGGCAGCGGAGUACUACACCACGAAGGCAGCGGAGUACUACACCACGAAGGCAGCGGAGUACUACACCACGAAGGCAGCGGAGUACUACACCACGAAGGCAGCGGAGUACUACACCACGAAGGCAGCGGAGUACUACACCACGAAGGCAGCGGAGUACUACACCACGAAGGCAGCGGAGUACUACACCACGAAGGCAGCGGAGUACUACACCACGAAGGCAGCGGAGUACUACACCACGAAGGCAGCGGAGUACUACACCACGAAGGCAGCGGAGUACUACACCACGAAGGCAGCGGAGUACUACACCACGAAGGCAGCGGAGUACUACACCACGAAGGCAGCGGAGUACUACACACAACACAGCAGCUGCUAAUUCGUACUUCGUUGAACUGGAAUAAACCGAGGCUCUAGUUUACUACACUACAAUCUACGCUUCUCCCAGGUACUCAUAGAAGCCCCAAAGUACUACAUCGACGAGACCUUAUAUUGCACUUCAACCCCCGCUGCCCACCGAGGAUCCCAAGUACUACACCACUACUUACGCUACAUCCACCUACUACAACGAAGCUCAGAAGUCACUACUCUGCCCCGAGUUACUACACCACUAAGACAGCCGAAUAUUACACCACAAACUACGCUUCCGGUUCUUACUACAAGGAGAUUCCUAAAUACUAGAGCAAAAAUUUUCUAUUUAAUUUUUUUUAUAUUUGUCGGUCAUAUGGUCAUUGGUCACUGGGAAUUAAUUGUUAUCUUCAAUGAGAAAAUAAAAAUUUUAAUGCGGGUAA
RNAcentral lists this long non-coding RNA (2464 nucleotides) under Daphnia pulex (common water flea). RNAcentral describes it as "uncharacterized LOC124195948, transcript variant X4". Lineage: Eukaryota; Metazoa; Arthropoda; Branchiopoda; Diplostraca; Daphniidae. The record is from RNAcentral.